This 497-nucleotide ribosomal RNA is filed under the name uncultured bacterium. RNAcentral describes it as "partial 16S ribosomal RNA". It matches the Rfam family "Bacterial small subunit ribosomal RNA", at positions 28 to 507 of the family's 1533-position model. The record is from RNAcentral.
GAUGAACGCUGGCGGCGUGCCUAAUACAUGCAAGUCGAGCGAACAGACGAGGAGCUUGCUCCUCUGACGUUAGCGGCGGACGGGUGAGUAACACGUGGAUAACCUACCUAUAAGACUGGGAUAACUUCGGGAAACCGGAGCUAAUACCGGAUAAUAUAUUGAACCGCAUGGUUCAAUAGUGAAAGACGGCUUUGCUGUCACUUAUAGAUGGAUCCGCGCCGCAUUAGCUAGUUGGUAAGGUAACGGCUUACCAAGGCAACGAUGCGUAGCCGACCUGAGAGUGUGAUCGGCCACACUGGAACUGAGACACGGUCCAGACUCCUACAGUAAGCAGCAGUAGGGAAUCUUCCGCAAUGGGCGAAAGCCUGGCGGAACAGCGCCGCGUGAGUGAUGAAGGUCUUCGGAUCGUAAAACUCUGUUAUUAGGGAAGAACAAAUGUGUAAGUAACUAUGCACGUCUUGACGGUACCUAAUCAGAAGGCCAGGGCUAACUACGUG